This is a long non-coding RNA of Priapulus caudatus, 301 nucleotides long. RefSeq lists it as uncharacterized. The transcript is spliced from 3 exons. Lineage: Eukaryota; Metazoa; Priapulida; Priapulimorpha; Priapulimorphida; Priapulidae. The record is from RefSeq and is a predicted model, not a curated record.
AAGUGCCUGUGGUUUGAAUGAAUAAACGUUACUUUCUUAGUUCUUCGUUAUAGUUUCUUUGCAGCGUUUCAAGACUACGAUAAGGAUUUCCCCCCAUUGGUCAGGCCGAUGCAGACGUUAGAACUUCGCUUUGCUAAUCUUAGGGUGCGGGUUUAUCCCCAUUACUGGGGUCUGCGUUGGCUCGGACUAGCCGCAGUCAUCAUUACCACUUGAUGGCAAGAAGAAAGAUGUUGGAAGGAGAUCUGGAAAAAGAAGAAGAAGUAUUCCGGUCGGAUGGAGUCUUUCGGAGGUAUGUUGACGU